GACACUAUGACCGAGUGGUCUAAGGUGCCUGAGUCAAGUUCAGGUCUCGCAAGAGGCGUGGGUUCGAAUCCCACUGGUGUCA
Molecule: transfer RNA, 82 nt
Filed under: Coemansia guatemalensis
Lineage: Eukaryota; Fungi; Kickxellomycota; Kickxellomycetes; Kickxellales; Kickxellaceae
Rfam family: tRNA
About the family: Transfer RNA (tRNA) molecules are approximately 80 nucleotides in length. Their secondary structure includes four short double-helical elements and three loops (D, anti-codon, and T loops).
Source: Rfam by way of RNAcentral